This 253-nucleotide ribosomal RNA is filed under the name uncultured bacterium. RNAcentral's name for it is "partial 16S ribosomal RNA". It matches the Rfam family "Bacterial small subunit ribosomal RNA", at positions 524 to 776 of the family's 1533-position model. The record is from RNAcentral.
UACAGAGGGGGCAAGCGUUGUUCGGAAUUACUGGGCGUAAAGGGCGCGUAGGCGGCCUGUUAAGUCGAACGUGAAAUCCCCGGGCUCAACCCGGGAACUGCGUCCGAAACUGGCAGGCUCGAAUUCGGGAGAGGGAUGCGGAAUUCCAGGUGUAGCGGUGAAAUGCGUAGAUAUCUGGAGGAACAUCGGUGGCGAAGGCGGUUCUCUGGAACGCAACUGACGCUGAGACGCGAAAGCGUGGGGAGCAAACAGG